This 87-nucleotide transfer RNA is filed under the name Amniculicola lignicola CBS 123094. Its description in RNAcentral is "tRNA-Pro". The record is from RNAcentral. Lineage: Eukaryota; Fungi; Ascomycota; Dothideomycetes; Pleosporales; Amniculicolaceae.
GGUCUUAUGGUCUAGUGGUAUGAUUCUCGCUUAGGGACACCUAAGUACGUUUGCGAGAGGCCCCGCGUUCGAAUCGCGGUAAGACCC